This is a long non-coding RNA of Triticum aestivum (bread wheat), 2906 nucleotides long. RefSeq lists it as uncharacterized. Lineage: Eukaryota; Viridiplantae; Streptophyta; Magnoliopsida; Poales; Poaceae. The transcript is spliced from 7 exons. The record is from RefSeq and is a predicted model, not a curated record.
GAUUGGCAUCGUUGCAGGCCACCCCGCCGCUCGACCUCGCCUCACACCAGAGGCGACCACCACCAUCCUCUCCGCUCCCUCCCCUCUCCCAACCCGAUAUAGAUGCCUAACCCGCGGGAACCGGCAGGCGGACAGCGGGUAAAACGAGGCACGGUGGUGGCUCGAGGAAGACGGCAGAUGUGUGCGCAGCGUCGCCGAUCUGGCGGGUGGUGCGGCGGCUUGUUCCGGUGCCAGCGGCGUCCUGCUCAUCCAGAGAAGGAGAGACAAGGGCCUGAGGGAGAGAGGAGACAAAGGAAGAAAGGAGAAGGAGAAGGGGCGCACGCAGGGUGAGGGAGGCAGUCGCCGGCGAUGGCAGCUCCGGUGACUGACCGACAGGCUUGCUGCCAAAUCGCGCCCAUCGGGCCACGCUCUGCGCUGGCUACGCCGACUGCCGCGUGCCGCCGAACGGCGGCGGUGGAGCCUCCAUCGUGGAGGAUUACACCGGCUGCCCCGCGCUUUCCGAGAUCCUCCGCAUCCUCCCGAUGAAGCGUCGUCGUCGCAGGAGGACUUUGAUGCCUCGAUCACCGGCAACCUCCUCCAAAUCCUACAGGAGGUCCAGAUGUGUAUAUCAAGGACGCACAGAUCCAUUGGCCUGCGUACCACACAUCCCUUCACUAAUUCCAUCGGUGUCAUUCUUAACAAGGUAAGUAUGAUUCCCCCAUCCAUUAUUUUCUUAAUUGAUCUUUGAUCCUUGAUAUGCCUAAUGUCCUUACAUUUUAUUGAUUCUAUAAACGAUCUCAAACAGGAAUAUACCAAGAUUUGGAUGGAACCAAUUUUUAGGCCACAAUUCCUAUAACUUUCCUUGUCAAUUUGAUAAAAUUAGAUGUGUGAUGGAGGUUGUAACCUAUUACGGUUUACAUUGUCAGAAUUCUUCAAGACCCUUUGUCGAUCCUCACUAUCUUUGAAACAAUCUGAUUUCUGUGUCAUUGCUAAACAUAUGUAUAUAUUUGGUGUGCUGGAUUUUCUGAUGUAUAUGCUAUAUAAGAGGAAGCUAUUCGACAAUCCUUCCCAAGUUGGUACAGAUUAACUCGAUUUUAUUCAGUAAAUAUUUAUGCUUGAUAGAUACAAGCCUUCCUCUUUUGCCCUUCUUUUCUCCAUCCUCUGUAGGUCUCCAGCACAUGUGAAUCAUUGUCGUCAAGAGCAUGCUUGUGACAUCAUUACAAUACGUGAUGCAGGGCAAAAGGAUGUUGUCAGGAAUAAAAACAAAUUUAAUCAUUUCCUAUUCUUUUUCCUUGCCUGUUUUCGCCGUUAUAUACACUGUAUUUCCCAUUGUAAUGCACAGCCAAAUUUGUAUUCUUCAAAGUUUUAGUCAUCUCUGCUACAACUAAGUGUUCAAUUGCAAUCUCUAGCCAAGUUCCCUUUGUUGUUGUGUUAAAUUUCAGGAAAGGCGGCCAAGCAGCUCGUGGCAGCCGUGUCGCGUCUACUCCACCGCUGCCUUGACUUGCCGACGACGUCGCUGGUUGGGCCGCAGGGGGGCAAGAUCGUCGUGGGACCCAUUGCCAUGGGCGCCGAGUAUGCUUGAUUGCCAUGUCAGAGGCAAAGGUCCUAGAGCUUGGUGUCGUCGAACAUUAGCUGGAUUGGUUCAUGGAUAUGCAGUGUGACAAGUCAUGUGAGAUGAAGGUAGUGAACUGUCUCAAUGUGAAGCCAAGUAUGUGAAGGAUAUGCCAUGGAUGAUGUGGACAGAGAUAAUGCAAAAAUUGCUUGCCAAUAGGCAGCUGGGCGCAUGCAUAAUUGUCGAGGAGGCCGAAGCCAGCGCUAUUCUGGUUUGACUGAAUAACGUAUUCUGAGGCUCCCUUGUGGUGGAGAUCGACUAUGCAGUGGGGAAAGGAGCUAGGGGCUGAUUCGUAAGCAGAACAUUGUCCUACCCAAUUAUUGUUGAUAUUAAAUCUGCAUUGAGUAAAUAUCACAUCAGGGCUGUCGGAAGGACAAACAAUGGGCUGGAUCAUGAACUAGCCAACGUUUCCAAAGCUCAUGGAGACUUUGUGGUUGAGGAUGAUGUCCCGGACCAUGAUCUGCUCCGGAAGGAAAACGAUGCAGCCUUGGCGUCGGUAUCAGGCAUUUUGAUGGAUGUAAAGCAGACUUGAUUGUCUGUGAUGGCGCCCCUGAUAUUACUGGACUUCAUGAUAUGGACGAGUUUGUUCUGUCCCAGCUUAUAUAGGCGGUUGGUAUAUUUUUCUCUUUCUCUGCGUCAAUUUAGAUCAGAGAUACUUUUUGGAAGUAAUUUGCAGUAUCCAUAAGAUGCAGUGUCCAAAAAUAAUGCUACCUUAACCCUGUAGUUUAUGCUUAGUAUUCUACCUUAAAAUGUUUACUUUCGGUGCAUUAGCUUCUUUGGAUUUUAAUAAUGAACAUUGGACCAUUUUUACUCAACCUUUGGAUAAUUUUUUGUUGUUUAUGUUGUAGAACAACAUGGUGUAACACUAUGGUUCCACUAACUUGAUAUAUUUUCCACUAAUGUCCUUCCUGCUUCCAUCUACCUUGCUGCCCCAUCUCUCCUCUACCAAAUUCCAGCUUCAUGGUGGAUUCAUCUACAGGAAUCCACACCUACGGCAGUUCUCCUAGAAACCAUCUGCCUGAAGUUCAUCUCCCUACCACUCCAUUUUGUGUCAGAACAGAGAAUUGUUACAGUUGAGAUCAUAGACAAAUCUUAUGUUGCAACAACAAGUUUGGAGGUUGUGCUGAGAAUUAAAAUGUCAAGCUUCAAAAAAUAGAUGCUUCAAGUAUUUAAUCUCUUUCAAAUACUCUUAUCAUGUUCCUUUCAGUGGUUAGAUCCCACAACUAAGAUAUGUUUGCUUCACACUCAUGCUUGUAAUACGCCUAUAUGGUUCCUUAUUUCAUCAUGUCCACGUUUGUAAUUCUCUGGUGCAGCA